RNAcentral lists this long non-coding RNA (250 nucleotides) under Medicago truncatula (barrel medic). Its description in RNAcentral is "long non-coding RNA (MTRU_LNC006784)". Lineage: Eukaryota; Viridiplantae; Streptophyta; Magnoliopsida; Fabales; Fabaceae. The record is from RNAcentral.
AAAAGUUGGAUUGGUGACAUCUCUGGAACAGCUAUGCUGGGGAUGAAACUUAAAGUUGAAGUUGACAUCGAGAUUAACUAGCGCCAUGACUAGUACGGCUUUCCGCCAGGGAUGACACUUCGAAACUAAAGUUGAAAUUUGAAAUUGAAAUGGAAGAUGUUUUACUCGUAGAAACUUGCGGCUUGACGCAAUGGUAAACUAAGACUGAACCGAAGUGAAAUGACCGAAACGAUUGAUGAGUUUAUGUAUG